Molecule: long non-coding RNA, 402 nt
Organism: Cyprinus carpio carpio
Lineage: Eukaryota; Metazoa; Chordata; Actinopteri; Cypriniformes; Cyprinidae
Source: Ensembl
CUGUAUGGCACUCUUGGAGAUGCUUGACGCUGGCCUGAAUGGGAGCUGUUGUAGUUAGGGACAAAAAUGUGAUAGGCAGUUUUAUCAUGCUUAGCAAGUCUGACCAUCUGAAAAUUAUUGCCUCCUUUACAUGCAUUUAAAGGGGCCUAACCCAACAGAAAUGCACAUGGAUAUACAUUCAACAGACACUGCUUUGCUGUUCAGCAUCUUGACAGUUUUGGGACUUGGUUGGACUACUUUGAUGUUGCUUUUGGGAAGAUGAUGAACUCAAAGUGGCCAGUGACAAAUACAACAAUAUCCCAUCACACAGACACAGCAUGGCUCUGUGGGGACUGUUGUUGUACCUCAGGGAGCAAGAUCGUGAAUAUCCAAGAUUUGUUCGGACACUAAUUUAGGGGUAAA